This 336-nucleotide long non-coding RNA is filed under the name Nicotiana benthamiana. RNAcentral describes it as "long non-coding RNA (NBEN_LNC004167)". The record is from RNAcentral. Lineage: Eukaryota; Viridiplantae; Streptophyta; Magnoliopsida; Solanales; Solanaceae.
UCAAAUUUGCUUAUUCCUACUUGCAAUUUUAACCUGUUUAGAUUACCUUAAGCAUGUUAGGCUAGCACUACCUGUUGCUUGUACCUUCGUACCUCGUUUCUGAUUAUCUUCUGGUUGUGUUUGCGCAUUUACAUUGGGACUACGGAUGUGGGAUUGCGGUAGCUUCCCCUCUUGUUUGUUUACGUUGGGAUUAAGGGUUAGAUUCUCGGUAGAUCUCCCUGCACAUUUACUUUGAGACUACGGGUUAGAUUCCCAGUAGAUCCCCUCCCUGCACAUUUACUUUGGGACUACGGGUCAGAUUCUCGGUAGAUCUCCCCUGUGCAUGUACUCUGGGAC